This 745-nucleotide ribosomal RNA is filed under the name uncultured Weissella sp. RNAcentral's name for it is "bacterial SSU rRNA". It matches the Rfam family "Bacterial small subunit ribosomal RNA", at positions 43 to 771 of the family's 1533-position model. Lineage: Bacteria; Bacillati; Bacillota; Bacilli; Lactobacillales; Lactobacillaceae. The record is from RNAcentral.
UGUGGUUGAAAUGAUAUGAAGAACUUGUUCAGAUUUGAUUUUCAACAUUGCAAUGAGUGGCGAACGGGUGAGUAACACGUGGGAAACCUACCUCUUAGCAGGGGAUAACAUUUGGAAACAAAUGCUAAUACCGUAUAAUAAUUAAAACCGCAUGGUUUUAGUUUAAAAGAUGGUCUUGCUAUCACUAAGAGAUGGUCCCGCGGUGUAUUAGUUAGUUGGUGAGGUAAUGGCUCACCAAGACAAUGAUACAUAGCCGAGUUGAGAGACUGACCGGCCACAAUGGGACUGAGACACGGCCCAUACUCCUACGGGAGGCAGCAGUAGGGAAUCUUCCACAAUGGACGAAAGUCUGAUGGAGCAACGCCGCGUGUGUGAUGAAGGGUUUCGGCUCGUAAAACACUGUUGUAAGAGAAGAAUGACAUUGAGAGUAACUGUUCAAUGUGUGACGGUAUCUUACCAGAAAGGAACGGCUAAAUACGUGCCAGCAGCCGCGGUAAUACGUAUGUUCCAAGCGUUAUCCGGAUUUAUUGGGCGUAAAGCGAGCGCAGACGGUUAUUUAAGUCUGAAGUGAAAGCCCUCGGCUCAACCGAGGAAUUGCUUUGGAAACUGGAUAACUUGAGUGCAGUAGAGGAAAGUGGAACUCCAUGUGUAGCGGUGAAAUGCGUAGAUAUAUGGAAGAACACCAGUGGCGAAGGCGGCUUUCUGGACUGUAACUGACGUUGAGGCUCGAAAGUGUGGGUAGCAA